AGCACUUGCUGCAGGCUGGCUCUUGUUGCAGAAACACUGAGAGGUCCAAUUAGAAAGUAUGGGACCAGGGGCUCCCAGCCUCUCAAUUUCCAGCAUCCUUGCACUUAGGUCCUGAAUCGACUCAUCACUUGAGAAGUGGGGUCCCCUGAGGUAAGGCUCAGAAGACCUUUGUUUCAGGGAAUGACUGUCUUCAAGACUAGAAGUCCCUAUCUGGAGUAUUCUGAUUGCUUAUUUUAUAAGCCAGGAGGGUUGAGGAAGACCUCUGUAUACAACUGUACCAGUAAAAUCUCUAUCAUGAGAAUCACUACCCUAUGUUCUCUGAAGCAGCCCAUUCUACAACCUUCCCCUUUCCCUCACGUUUACCAUCAAGGACAGGGGAGAGGGUUGUCUGAGCUUCAUAGAAAUAUUCUUCCCUCGGGAGAGCAGCAAGGAAGAAGGGAAGGAGGAAGAAGUCGGAGCUUGCAGCUGGAUGGAGACUUUAGGUAACUUACAAAGACAGAGAAGUUUUUUGUAUUAGGAGAUGGAAGGAAUUCUGAGGAAUGAGGAGGGGGGAGGCAAGGAGGGGGGGUGGCACUGGGGAGAGGCAGGGUUGACUCACCCUGGGGCUCAGGGUGAGCUGCUCAACCUGUCUCUGUCCCUCCAGGGGGUAGGGGAUUAAUAACUAUUUUCAGACCGUGCUUGGAGAUCAGGAGAAGAAAGUACCAGGGAGGGGUCACUCCCUGGAGCUGAAGAGGAGUUCCAACUCUGUCUCUCCAAGGGCAAAGGUGCCUGCCUGUCUGCUCCCUGGCACCCCUUUCAGGACGAUGACUCACUCCAGCCUCUUUUCCCUUUUCACUUUCCUUUCUUCUUACUCCCCAAUCUCCCUCCAGCCAGAGCAGAGGCCCAUAGCUACCUGGCACCAGCCCCCUCAUACAUAAGCUCUGAAACCAUAUUCUAUGGCUGGGGGGCCAGGCCUGUCAUUCUCUCAGCCCCAUGAUUUCCUCUGGGUUUGUGUUCUCUCCCACCCAAGCAGCUUAUUUUUAGACACAAAGGGAGAAAAAUAAAUUGAGAGCCACAAUGCUACCA
This 1065-nucleotide long non-coding RNA is filed under the name Phascolarctos cinereus (koala). RNAcentral describes it as "lncRNA (ENSPCIG00000036374.1)". Lineage: Eukaryota; Metazoa; Chordata; Mammalia; Diprotodontia; Phascolarctidae. The record is from RNAcentral.